AAAAACUUAAAUAACGAAAGCCCUACCUCUCAUUCGUCCUUGCGACUCCUCGAUCGCGCCAGUGUAAAUAAGGUGCUUGCAUGGAAG
This 87-nucleotide small RNA is filed under the name Pontibacillus litoralis JSM 072002. RNAcentral describes it as "BsrC". It matches the Rfam family "BsrC". From Rfam's summary of the family: The 301 nucleotide sequence from Kouji Nakamura has been trimmed to a highly conserved ~85 nucleotide long core to form this family. Lineage: Bacteria; Bacillati; Bacillota; Bacilli; Caryophanales; Bacillaceae. The record is from Rfam by way of RNAcentral.